RNAcentral lists this long non-coding RNA (37766 nucleotides) under Triticum aestivum (bread wheat). Its description in RNAcentral is "long non-coding RNA (TAES_LNC009704)". The record is from RNAcentral. Lineage: Eukaryota; Viridiplantae; Streptophyta; Magnoliopsida; Poales; Poaceae.
ACAACAACAACAACAACAACAACAACAAAUCCUUCAACAAAUUUUGCAACAACAACUGAUUCCAUGCAUGGAUGUUGUAUUGCAGCAACACAACAUAGCGCAUGGAAGAUCACAAGUUUUGCAACAAAGUAGUUACCAGCUGUUGCAAGAAUUGUGUUUUCAGCACCUAUGACAGAUCCCUGAGCAGUCGCAGUGCCAAGCCAUCCACAAUGUUGUCCAUGCUAUUAUUCUGCAUCAACAACAAAAACAACAACAACAACAACAACAAAAACAACAACCAUCGAGCCAGGUCUCCUUCCAACAGCCCCAGCAACAAUAUCCAUCAGGCCAGGGCUCCUUCCGGCCAUCUCUGCAAAAUCCACAGGCCCAGGGCUCGGUCCAGCCUCAACAGCUGCCCAGUUCGAGGAAAUAAGGAACCUAGCGCUACAGACGCUACCUGCAAUGUGCAAUCUCUACAUCCCUCCAUAUUGCACCAUCGCGCCAUUUGGCAUCUUCGGUACUAACUGAGAAGAAAAUAACUCUAGUACUAGAUAUAUGAAACACCGUUUUCUUAGUCCAUGGUUUGGUCAUUGUAGCGGUGAAAAAAUAAAGUGACAUGCACUACCAUGUAAGAACUCGAACUAUACUAGUUCAAACUUGGGAAUAAAAGACAAACACAGGUCUUGUCUACAUAUUUAUGUUGCAUUUAUCUAAAGAUAACAAAAUGAGUCUAAAAUUUGAAUUAAAUUGAAGUAUUUUCUUGGACUUUCAAAUUGAGUAUUAUUAACGUAGUAAGGACUAUCCUCAUCCUUGGCCUGCCCCUAAUCAAUUAUUUCCAGAGAAGCAUUCAAUUCAUCAAUCAAUUACAUUGAUUUUUGUGGCUGGUACUUCUCCUCAACAUCAGUAUAUUCACCGUGGCUACUCCAAAUCGGCAAGAAUGAGGUACCGGUGCUCUGGAGCAGUGCCAACUAAUUGCUUCUCAUGUGAAGGGGUGCGGGCGCGGGAGAGGUAUUUCUGGUGGGCCAAGGGAGUAAGAAGCCACCGUGGGAGUGGUACAGACGCCCGUAAAGCCCCAUAGUUUCUUUUUGGUUUACAGGAAAAUGCACAUCCAUACCGGCCUGGGGAGUAUAGGACCGUAUUGGAUGGAAAACCAUGUCCGGAUGGUUGCGAGCGGUUUGAGGGUUAGCUUUUGUAACGCCCGGUUAGUUAUGCUAUAGCAAUUCCCUGCUAAUGAUGUCACGUCACCAAGAUUACUGUUGUUAUCCUCACAAUGAUUCAAUGCCAUUCUAAUUCAAAUUUAAAAUAAAGGCAAGCAUCAAAAGUUUUCAAACAUUAAAACUAAAAUCUUUGAGAGGUAACAAAUAAUGCAUAAGUAAUUAUGGUGGAGAAACCACACUUUAAUAAAAUGUUUAAAUACUCUAAAAUGAAAAAAACAGUGGCUUAAACUAUUAUUUAAAUGCUUUUAAAAUAGUAAAAAUGUUCUAACUAAAUUAAUUGGGUACCAACCUUUUGGUGGCAGUGGUAUAUUUAGUAGAACUAAUUUAGAUGCUAGUUAUAUGAUUUAGAAAAUUAGGGUCAAUUGAAAAAUAGGAUAAAACAGAGAAGGAAAGACAAAACAAAUAAAAGCAAAAGGGGGCAACCCCUCACUGGCCUUGGCCUAGCUGGCCACUGGGCUAGCUAGGUCGGCCCCGCCGCCUCCCUUAACCCCCUGUCGGUGUCGAAACCGGUGGAUGGUACCAUGAGUAGAUCUACCACGAGAUCGGAGAGGCUAAACCCUAGAGGCUAGCCUAUGAUAUGAUUGUAUGUGUCCUACGGACUAAAACCCUCCGGUUUAUAUAGACACCGGAGAGGGUUAGGGUUACACAAGGUCGGUUACAAAGGAGGAGAUAUCCAUAUCCGUAUUGCCUAGCUUGCCUGCCACGCCAAGUAGAGUCCCAUCCGGACACGGGACGAAGUCUUCAAUCUUGUAUCUUCAUAGUGCAACAGUCCGAAAAAGGAUAUAGUCCGGCUGUCCGGAGACCCCCUAAUCCAGGACUCCCUCAGUAGCCCCUGAACCAGGCUUCAAUGACGAUGAGUCUGGCGCGCAGUAUUGUCUUCGACAUUGCAAGGCGGGUUCCUCCUCCGAAUGCAUCACAGAAGAAUUUGAAUACGAGGAUAGUGUCCGACCCUGCAACAUAAGUUCCACAUAAUUCCAUACAGAGAAUAAUAUUUUCGCAAAUCUAAUUUGCUUACUUGUUUUGACAGUACGACAUUAUGUCAUGGCCCGGUGAUUAUUCGAACCGUUUCCUUUAACUAGCCCCGCACAUAACGCGAGGCAGUUUUUCGACAUGUCUUGUCAAAGCAGAGAUCGUGUCCCCUUAUUACUGGAUUCUCAUCAAUACGGGCGUGGGUAACCCAACCGCGCCAUCGAUUGCGGCACUUGGGGGAUGAGCUAUUUUUACCUGGCAAGUGGGGACGCUUAGUUUCGUCCGCCCAUAUAAAGGGAUAAGGAUUCACCUUUCUAUCCAUGCCUUCUUCCUCCUUUGCUCAUCCGUUUUUGCACACUCGAGCUCUAGCGCCCAAGUUCGCACUUCCCACCUCAACCUUCUCCAACCAUGUCCCGAGCGGGAGGCAGGUGGAUGGUAUCCUCCGUCACGGAUGGAGACAUCAAGAAGCUGAGGAGCGCCGGAUACCUGCCUGACGACAUCGCGCACCGGCUCCCAGAUGAGGGGCAGCUCACCCCCACCCCCAGGCCCCAUGAGAGGGUAGUGUUCCUCACCCAUUUCCUCCGCGGACUGGGAUUCCCUCUCCACCCAUUUGUCCCGGGGCUCAUGUUCUAUUACGACCUGGAUUUCCAUGAUCUGGCCCCGAACUUCAUCCUCAACAUCUCGGCGUUUAUCGUUGUGUGCGUGGCCUUCCUCCGCAUCAAGCCCCACUUCGGCUUAUGGUUGAAGACCUUUAAUGUCAAGCCGAAGGUUGUGGGCGACCGCCAGGCGGAGUGCGGAGGCGCCAUGGUGGGCAAGAUGCCCAACGUAACAUGGCUCGAGGGCUCUUUUGUGGAAACCAUAAAGGGGUGGCAAUCGGGUGGUUCUACAUCACCGAGCCGCGUGACCCUGCAUGGGCAGCGGCCCCCCGAGUUCUGAUCUGGCAUCCCCACGCGGCUCACCUCCUGGAAAGAGAAGGGCCUGUCCUGGGGUAGUUUGGAAGAGCUGACCAGACUCCAAACAUGUAUUCAAAACAUGGUGAACAAGAAGCUCAAACUCGUCAACGUGGUCCAGGUCAUGCUCCACCGCCGGAUCCUCCCGUGCCAAUAACGGGAGUUCAACUUGUGGGAGUACAACCCAGCGCAGCACCGAACUCUGAACAGGCUUUUCGACACAACUCACGAAGAUGCCUCGAGGGUGCUGUUCAAAAUCACCAAGGUCCCCCUCCCAUUACUGAGGAUCACGGAUUCAGCGUGAAGCGCCAAGCCAGUGCGGCAGGCUGCUUUACCUUUCACAGGCUACUUAUUUUUUAUAGAUUGACUCCAUGCGGGAUCUAAACUCCCGUACCUUUGACAGGACUGGCAGGAGAUGGCCGGACAGAUCGACUGUCCGGCUCCUAUGCCCGAAGGCCCAGCAGACGCUCUUCUAGCGAAGAUGCUGACUUCGGCUCCUUAUACGGUGCCGGAGAAGACCAAGAAGGACAAGGGAACCCGAAAGAGUUCCCGACGCCAGGCGUCGUCGGACUCACCGUCCGAUGACUCUGCGGCGCACUCCUCCCCCGAAGACGAGGAAGAGGAAGAAGACGCUCCCUCUCUGGCUGGGGGAGAUAAGAAAAGGAAGGCCGCCCCAACUGGGGGGGCGGAAGGGUCCAAGAAGGGAAGGAAUCUCCUUCCGGAUAGUUGCACCGCUGCCGACGAAGGCGAAGACGAGGGGUUGCCCAGGGCCAAGCCCCUGGGGAGAUCGUAAGUAUUCAGAUACCAGAGUAACUCAUAGCAUUCCUUUGUCGCACUGCUUUCCCUAACGUCAAACAUAAUUAUGCAGGUCGCCAUGAGCCAGUAUCGAUGUGUGACGCCCGGAUAAUCAUGCUACAGUAAUCCCACGCUAAUCAUGCCACGUCACCUCGGUUACUGUUGCUAAUCUAUCGUUAGGUCAAAGCUGGUCCAAAAUUCAAAUUCAAAGUUUGGUAAAUAAUAACAGUUUUCAAAAAUUAAAACAAAAAUGUUCGGUGAUUGCCGAAUAAUGCAUAGGUAAUUAUGGUGGAGAAACCACACUUUUAUAAAAUGUUUAAAUAAUCUAAAAUGAAUAAAACAGUAGAAAAACCAAAUCUAAAUGCUUUUAUAAAUAAAUAAAACACUAAACUAAAUUGUUUUGGGAUAAAGCCUUUUGUGGCAGUGGGUUUCGUGGUAUUACAAUUUUAGAGUUCAUUUUAAUACUAAGUAAGAAGUAUAAUUAAGAGAAACUAAAAUAAAGAACAGAAAAAAAAGAAUAAAUAAAAGGAAAAGAAAACACAAAACAGAAAAGAAAACUACCAAAAAAAUAUGGUAAAAGGAGACCCCCCCCACUGGACCCCUUGGCCCAACUGGGCCAUGGCCCAGCCGGCCACCCCCNNNNNNNNNNNNNNNNNNNNNNNNNNNNNNNNNNNNNNNNNNNNNNNNNNNNNNNNNNNNNNNNNNNNNNNNNNNNNNNNNNNNNNNNNNNNNNNNNNNNNNNNNNNNNNNNNNNNNNNNNNNNNNNNNNNNNNNNNNNNNNNNNNNNNNNNNNNNNNNNNNNNNNNNNNNNNNNNNNNNNNNNNNNNNNNNNNNNNNNNNNNNNNNNNNNNNNNNNNNNNNNNNNNNNNNNNNNNNNNNNNNNNNNNNNNNNNNNNNNNNNNNNNNNNNNNNNNNNNNNNNNNNNNNNNNNNNNNNNNNNNNNNNNNNNNNNNNNNNNNNNNNNNNNNNNNNNNNNNNNNNNNNNNNNNNNNNNNNNNNNNNNNNNNNNNNNNNNNNNNNNNNNNNNNNNNNNNNNNNNNNNNNNNNNNNNNNNNNNNNNNNNNNNNNNNNNNNNNNNNNNNNNNNNNNNNNNNNNNNNNNNNNNNNNNNNNNNNNNNNNNNNNNNNNNNNNNNNNNNNNNNNNNNNNNNNNNNNNNNNNNNNNNNNNNNNNNNNNNNNNNNNNNNNNNNNNNNNNNNNNNNNNNNNNNNNNNNNNNNNNNNNNNNNNNNNNNNNNNNNNNNNNNNNNNNNNNNNNNNNNNNNNNNNNNNNNNNNNNNNNNNNNNNNNNNNNNNNNNNNNNNNNNNNNNNNNNNNNNNNNNNNNNNNNNNNNNNNNNNNNNNNNNNNNNNNNNNNNNNNNNNNNNNNNNNNNNNNNNNNNNNNNNNNNNNNNNNNNNNNNNNNNNNNNNNNNNNNNNNNNNNNNNNNNNNNNNNNNNNNNNNNNNNNNNNNNNNNNNNNNNNNNNNNNNNNNNNNNNNNNNNNNNNNNNNNNNNNNNNNNNNNNNNNNNNNNNNNNNNNNNNNNNNNNNNNNNNNNNNNNNNNNNNNNNNNNNNNNNNNNNNNNNNNNNNNNNNNNNNNNNNNNNNNNNNNNNNNNNNNNNNNNNNNNNNNNGCCCCUCGGCGCCCGCUCGGCCCUCUCCUGGGUCGGGCGCCCGUAACGCCCAGCGCCCGUAACCCGCUAUGGCCCCCUGGGCAGUUGACAGAUGGGGCCCACGCCCCUGUCUUGUUAGAAAAAAAAACGAAAAGAAAAUGUAAUUAAAAAAAUGAAAAUAAGUAAUUAGUUAUUUAAUUAAUUAUGUAACUAAUUAAUUAAUUAAAUAAGUAAUUACUUAACUUAAUUAACUCCGUUUAGUACUUAAUUAACUUGAUUAGUUAAUUAAAAUUGUUAAUUAGUUGUUAGACUAUGACGAAUGGGACCCACACGUCAGUUUGACCCAGUCAACGCCCUGUUGACUGCUGACGUCAUGCUGACGUCAGCGUACACUAUUCUGGAUAAUGUUAAUUUAAUUAAUAAUUAAUAAAUUAGAAAAUGAUUUAAAAAUUUAAAAAUUAAUAUAAAUUAAACCGUAGCUCAGAUGAAAAAACUUUGUACAUGAAAGUUGCUCAGAACGACGAGACAAAUCUGGAUACACGGCCUGUUUGUUCGUCACGCAUCCCUAGCAUAGCAAACUCGCAACUUUCCCCUCCGGCUCCUCUGCCCGAAAACGCAAAACACCGGGGAUACUUUCCCGGAUGUCAUCCCCCUUCACCGGUAUCACCUAUUACCGCGUUAGGGCACCUCUAACGCCGUUACUUGUCAUGUCAUGCAUCACUAUGCAUAUGCUUGCUUAAAUAUUUAUUAUUUCUUCCCCCUCUUCUCUCGAUAGACACCGAGACCGACGCCGCUGCUACCCAGUACGACUACGCUGUUGACGACCCUCUUUCUUGCCAGAGCAACCAGGCAAGCGCCCCCCUUGAUCACCAGAUAUCGCCUACUCUCUUCUAUACUGCUUGCAUUAGAGUAGUGUAGCAUGUUACUGCUUUCCGUUAUUCCUAUCCUGAUGCAUAGCCUGUCCUUGCUACUACUGUUGUUACCAUUACCUGCUAUCCUACUGCUUAGUAUAGGAUGCUAGUGUUCCAUCAGUGGCCCUACACUCUUGUCCGUCUGCCAUGCUAUACUACUGGGCCGUGAUCACUUCGGGAGGUGAUCAUGGGCAUAUGCUAUAUACUUUACACAGUUACUUUACCUGUGGUACUGUUCGGAGAUGGGGGCUGAAGGGGCAGGUGGUUCCACCCAGGUAGUGGUGGGCCUGGGUUCCCGACGGCCCCCGACUGUUACUUUGUGGCGGAGCGACAGGGCAGGUUCAGACCACCUAGGAGAGAGGUGGGCCUGGCCCUGGUCGGCGUCCGCGGAUACUUAACACACUUAACGAGAUCUGGGUAUUUGAUCUGAGUCUGGCCAUUUGGUCUAUACGCACUAACCAUCUACGCGGGAGUAGUUAUGGGUAUCCCGACGUCGUGGUAUCAGCCGAAGCCUUCGUGACAUCAGCGACUAAGUGGCGCGUGCCGGAUUGGACCGUAAGCCUGCUCUUGUAUUAAGGGGGCUAGUUCUGCUUCCGGCCGCGUUCGCAACGUGCAGGUGUGCAAAGGGCGAUGGGCCCAGACCCCUGCGCCAUAGGAUUUAGACCAGCGUGCUGACCUCUCUGUUGGGCCUAGGUAGGGCUGCGACGUGUUGAUCUUCCGAGGCCGGGCAUGACCCAGAAAAGUGUGUCCGGCCAAAUGGGAUCGAGCGUGUUGGGGUAUGUGGUGCACCCCUGCAGGGAAGUUUAUCUAUUCGAAUAGCCGUGUCCCUCGGUAAAAGGACGACCCGGAGUUGUACUUUGACCUUAUGAUAACUAGAACCGGAUACUUAAUAAAACACACCCUUCCAAGUGCCAGAUACAACCGGUGAUCGCUCUCUCACAGGGCGACGAGGGGAGGAUCAUCGGUUAGGAUUAUGCUAUGCGAUGCUACUUGGAGGACUUCAGUCUACUCUCUUCUACAUGCUGCAAGACGGAGGUUACCAGAAGCGUAGUCUUCGAAAGGACUAGCUAUCCCCCUCUUAUUCCGGCAUUCUGCAGUUCAGUCCACAUAUGAUAGCCUUAUUCCAAUUGAUACCAAUGCAUACAUAUGUAGUGUAGCUCCUUGCUUGCGAGUACUUUGGAUGAGUACUCACGGUUGCUUUCUCCCUCUUUCCCCCCUAUCCCUUCUACCUGGUUGUCGCGACCAGAUGUUGGAGCUCAGGAGCCAGACGCCACCGUUGACGACGACUCCUACUACACCGGUGGUGCCUACUACUACGUGCUGUCCGCUGACGACGACCAGGAGUAGUUUAGGAGGAUCCCAGGCAAGAGGCCUGCGCCUCUUUCGAUCUAUAGCUCAGUUUGUGCUAGCCUUCUUAAGGCAAACUUGUUUAACUUAUGUCUGUACUCAGAUAUUGUUGCUUCCGCUGACUCGUCUAUGAUCGAGCUCUUGUAUUCGAGCCCUCGAGGUCCCUGGCUUGUAAUAUGAUGCUUGUAUGACUUAUUUUAUUUGUAGAGUUGUGUUGUGAUAUCUUUCUGUGAGUCCCUGAUCUUGAUCGUACACGUUUGCGUGUAUGAUUAGUGUACGGUCAAAUCGGGGGCGUCACACGAUGUAUCAUCGGACGGUUCCCUAGGCUCGUCGGACAUGGAUAGCGAUCCAGUCCCGACCCCCACCUCCCCUCAUCCUGCUGACGACGCCGAGGUGCUGUCUCAAGAGGCAUCGGGUCGAGGGGAGACAGUCCUGGAGGCACCUCAAGGCGACCUUCCGGACUCCGGGAGCCGAGGGGACGGGGCCCCUAAGAGCUUCGAGUUCGGCCCUCAGCCGAACACCGCGCUGGAACCUCCAGUGGUUCCGGGCUCGGUCAGGCGGCCUCCUUCUAAGAGGGGCAAGACACCUGUGCCGGUGACCUCUGUCUAUCCAGAGGCGCCGGACAAUCUGCUGGAAGCGCUUCGCAGCGCUUCCAUCGACGAGGAGCACCGCACUAUCAUGAGUGCGGCGAUCCAGAAAGUUUAGUCCGCCAAGAGCGGAUUGACUGAAGCCUGUGCCAGCCUUCUAACAGGCUUUGAGGUAAGUGUUUUAAAAUAUAGGAAAAAUACUACUGCAUAUAUAGUAGCCCCUGAUGCUUUGUUCGGUGUUCAGAAAGAAAAGCCGAACAGAGGAUCAAAUAAUAUCGCAGGACUCUAAUAUAAGUAUGUCAAUAUGCGUAUGCAAGCCUCACUGCUGGCAUCCGCCACACUGACUGCGGAGGUCGCCCUACUGAAGCAGGACCUCGAGAGGUCUAGGAGAGAGCUCGGCCUUGUCAAGAGGCAGCUCGAGGAGAACAAGGGUAAGUAAUACCUUGUCUUUAGAUAUGUAUAUAUAAAAGAAGAAGCGAUUGCAAAAUGACAGGAUCAUCGUACAUUCGCCAGGGGCCACGACCAAGGUGGCAACCCUCAAGCAAGCGCUAACCAAGGCCGAAGAUAACGCGGCCAAGGAGCGCACCGAGUGAGAGAAGCACGAGGCUCGGGUGGGCGAGGUGCAGCAAGAGCUCUAGGCUAUCAUGGUGAAGCACGAGGCAUUGGAGCUUGACUAAAAGACGCGAGAGUCUGAGCUUUCCGCGGCCCUCGAGAGCGCAAAAAGUGCCAAGGCCGAAGCCCAAAGGGGUCUCCAGGCGGGUAUGGCUUUCUAUAUGCAAAGCAAGCAUGUAAAAGUAAAUUACCGAUUACUUACUCGAAUCCGGAGCUCUCCAGGAGCAUUCGCAGAUUUUCCACGCAGCGUGUCCGAUGCCGCACAAUUUUACCAGGCCGAGGAUGGAAGCUCAAUGGAGAAGCUGUUCUGGUAUCAGUAUGCUGAGGCCGGACACCCGGUGCCAAUGAGCGACCAGCUGAAGCAGGUGGUCGAGCUACAUAAGGCGGCCGAUCAGGCCAUGAAGGGCUUUAUAGUCCGGCUGUGGCCUGGCGACGCCCUUCCGAACAGCUUCCUCGGCCUGGUGAGGCGGCUUGUGGAUGCCUGCCCGCGGCUGGAGGUCGUCAAGCGAUCUGUCUACAUUGAGGGUGCACGCCGGGCUUUCGCCCGUGUGAAAUUGCAGUGGGUCAAGCUAGACGCCGUGAAGCUGAUCAAGGAGGGGCCGCCGGAGGGCAAGGAGCACCGCCACCCCGAGAUGUACUACGAGGGUGUUCUGCUGGGUGCCCGUCUCAUAGCGGACGAGUGUUCAAAAGAUGUAAUAUUUGAGUGAGACUUGCUCGUUUUAUCCUGUAUUUAUGAAAACUUGUUUCAUAUGCACUAUGCAACGCUUGUUUGAAUUUAGAAUAUUACCUUCUGUUUGGCCGUUUAUCAAUCUGAGAGAUGGCUAGUCCUCAGCUUCUGCCCCCAUGCCACGAGUGCUGGGGUCUUCGGGAUAAACCUGAGCACUCUUGUUCCCAUAUUUGGGUCCUUGGAGGGAGGUGCUCAGCACAACGAACAAGGAAACCCGACUAAUAAUGCUUUAUCACUCUCACUUAGCGAUAGAAUUCUAUAAUUUUAAAUUUCGGCGAAGCCCCUGGUAUUCGGAAGGCCGAAUUCGGGGCGCGAUACACGCCUUUAAGCCGGACAGGGCCGGCCCCUCGCCCUAAGCGGCAUAAGUCUUUGGGGACUCGAUAACCUCGCCGAACAGCGAUCAGUCUCUCCCCUUAUCAUGACAGUCAGUUUUAGCUUUCUCUACUUAGGUGCCGAACCCAGCAAAACCGGGGCACAAUCGCAGUAGUUCUCCUAGCGCUACCUUAGCCGAUAGAGUGGAACGUAAGGUACCAAAACAUAGGAGCCGGGCAAACCCAACAUUUGACCAAAGACAUGAUUCGGAGCUGAUGCAUAUAAUGCUAUAAGUUUGGGGUGCCGCACUUGUGAAAGUGUUCGGACUUUUCACACCGUAUUGUGGGGUACGUAAGCCCCUGGUGUAUUGGCCGUACCAAAGUGUACGGUUGCAAGGCAUCAUUAAUGAACAUAUAUAUAUAUAUAUAUAUAUAUAUAUAACAAGAGUGCAAUAAUAGUCGUAAUGUCAUGCAUUGUUUAUUCAAAAAAUUACGUUAAAGUAGGGUGAUACAGAUAGUGUGAUAAGCAAAGAGUAGGACUAUGUCCCUUCCCAAGGCAAGCUAAGGAAUGAUAUUAAAUUGAAUAUUUCGCUCGUUACAGUAAUCCACCUAGGAAUUCCGUGGUGUGACGUAGCUAUCUGCCUCCUUGGUUGCUGCAUCGUGUGUUCGGCAAUAGUGCUGCCGGACAGUGUUUCCAGAGGUUAAUGUCCUGAAAAAAAGAGAAAAAUAACCAAACGGGAAGCCCCUAGUGCGGUUUAAGCCGCGUCUUGGGGCGUGCUGCAGUUGUGCCACCCUCCCCACCUGUGCCCAUGGUAUUUUUAAUGCGUAAUUAUGUACGCGUGGCAUGAGUUUCGUCGUUGGGCUGGGAUUGGGGUGGCCGCCUUAUUGCUACGCGAGCUCAGAUCGCGCAAGGCGGUCUAUUUGCCGAUUGCUCCGAGCGCGCUUGAAGGUGUCCGGGCUUUGAAGCGCCGGACUGGUUGAUUGCCUUGAGAGGCUGCUUUGCGCUUCUGCUGCGAGGGCCGCGGUGUGCUCCUCUGUUCGGAGAGAGCACUCUGUGUUUCCAUUGACUGUAAUAACUCCGCGAGGUCCUGACAUCUUGAGCUUGAGGUAUGCAUAGUGCGGUACCGCAUUGAAUCUAGCAAAUGCGGUUCGCUCGAGCAGCGCGUGGUAACCACUGCGGAAUGGGACUAUAUCGAAGAUUAGCUCUUCGCUUCGGAAGUUAUCCGGGGAUCCGAAGACCACUUCCAGUGUAAUUGAGCCUGUGCAAUGGGCCUCUACACCUGGAAUGAGGCCUUUAAAGGUCGUUUUUGUGGGUUUGAUCCUUGAGGGGUCUAUACCCAUUUUGCGCACUAUAUCCUGAUAAAGUAGGUUCAGGCUGCUGCCGCCAUCCAUAAGGACUCGAGUGAGGUGAAAUCCGUCAAUGAUUGGGUCUAGGACUAGUGCGGAAAAUCUACCAUGAUGGAUACUAGUGGGGUGGUCCCUUCGAUCGAAGGUGAUCGGAUAGGAGGACCAAGGGUUGAACUUUGGGGUGACUGGCUCGAACGCAUAUACGUCCAUGAGCGCACGCUUCCGCUCCCUCUUAGGGAUGUGGGUUGCGUAUAUCAUGUUCACCGUCUGCAGUUGCGGGGGAAACCUCUUCUGUCCUUCGAUGUGCGGCUGCCGGGGCUCCUCCUCGUCAUCGCUAUGCGGCCCCUUGUCCUUCUUUUCGGCAAUUAACUUGCGGGCCUGCUUGAACACCCAACAAUCCCUGUUGGUGUGAUUGGCUGGCUUGUCUAGGGUGCCGUGUAUUUGACACGAGCGAUCGAGUAUACGUUCCAAGCUGGAUGGACCUGGCGUACUUUGUUUGAAUGGCUUUUUCCGCUGACCGGGUUUAGAGCCUUUGAAUCCGGCAUUGACUGCCGUAUCCUCGGUAUUUUCGCUGUUAAUGCGGCGGUUAUGUUUGUUGUGACAUGACCUGCUAUUGCCAUCCUUGGUAUCGGAGGUACCAUGGUUCUUUGAUAUGUUAUUACUACGGGCCAGCCAGCUGUCUUCUCCCGCACAAAAGCGGGUCAUGAGCGUCGUGAGAGCUGCCAUAGAUUUCGGCUUUUCCUGACCAAGGUGCCAGGCUAGCCACUCGUCUCGGAUGUUGUGUCUGAAAGCCGCUAAGGCCUCUGCAUCCGGACAGUCGACGAUUUGAUUUUUCUUUGUGAGGAACCAAGUCCAGAAUUGCCUAGCCGACUCUUCUGGCUGCUGAAUUAUGUGGCUCAAGUCAUCGGCGUCUAGUGGUCGCACAUAAGUGCCCUGAAAGUUGUUGAGGAAUGCGGCUUCCAGAUCUUCCCAACAGCUAAUGGAGUCCGCUGGCAAGCUGUUAAGCCAAUGCCGCGCUGGUCCUUUGAGCUUUAGUGGAAGAUAUUUGAUGGCGUGUAAGUCAUCACCGUGGGCCAUGUGGAUGUGGAGGAGGAAAUCCUCGAUCGAUACUGCAGGAUCUGUUGUGCCGUCGUAUGAUUCAAUAUUUACAGGUUUGAAACCUUCUGGGAAUUGAUGAUCCAUUACUUCGUCUCUGAAGCAUAAGGGGUGUGCGGCGCCUCUGUAGUGGGCUAUAUCGCGACGCAGCUCGAAUGGGUCUUGCCCGCUGUGUUCGGCCCGGCCGGAUUUGCUUUUACUGUAUCCGGCGUGACAUUUAUCGUCUCGCAGAGUUGUGCGCCCUCGUGAUCCGUAGAUCGAUCUUGCAUGCUUUGCUUUGUCCUCCAAUAUAUCUCGCAGGUCUGGCGUAUCUCCCCAUGCCUUUUUAUUUGAAUGGCGUCGGGGUGGAGGCUGAGUUUUUGGCUGGACUGCCUCUCUAUCGCGGCCACGAGGUGGCCGAUCCGGGCAGUAACCUGCACUUUGGGUAAUUCUUGGAGGGGUGCUUGAGUUUAUAUUCCUCGGCCGCGAGGACUUCAGUCCAUCUGUUAGUUAAGAGAUCUUGAUCAGCUUGAAGCUGCUGCUGCUUUUUCUUUAGGCUAUUUUCCGUGGCCAUAAGCCGGUGCUUGAAGCGCUCUUGUUCGAUGGGAUCCUCUGGUACAUCGAAUUCAUCAUCGCCGAGGCUUGCCUCGUCUUCGGAGGCGGGCGUGUAAUUGUCAUCCUCCUCCUCUCCGUCUGCCGCUCUUUCAGGAGGGUUGGCUCCUCCAUCCUCCUGCUCUAAAUCUUGCUGGAGGGGAUUAUUGUUGUCUUCGGCACUAUCCGGAGUGUUAUUAUCUCCUGUGCCGGUAUCACCACUUUUGCUUUGGCGGGACUUAGAGCGGCGCCGCUGACAUCGGCGCUUGGGUUGCUUCUUGGAGAGGUCAUCCUCCGUUAUCUCGUCGCCAUUGCCUUCUUUGGGUGUAUCCACCAUGUAUAUGUCGUAUGAUGAUGUGGCUUUCGAGUGCCCUAUGGGCGCUGGUUCAUGUUCAUCUCCUACAUCGUCGUCCAUACCAUCGAUGUCUUCGGAGUCGAAGUCGAGCAUGUCGGUUAAAUUAUCGACAGUGGCUACGAAGUGGGUGGUGGGUGGGCAUCGAAUUUCUUCGUCGUCCGCCUCCCAAUCCUGUUGGCCAUAGUCCGGCCAGGGCUCUCCUGACAAAGAGAGAGACUUUAGUGAAUUCAGAAUGUCACCGAAGGACGAGUGCUGCAAGAUAUCAGCGGCGGCGAAUUCCAUGAUCGGCGCCCAGUCGGAUUCAAUUGGCAGGGGCGCGGACGGUUCGGAGUCCGGAAAAGAGUCCGGCACCUUGGAGUCACGGGCUUUGCAGAGGAUUAGGCUGGUGUUCAACUCGAUCACCGUUGAGACUGCAGCCCCUGAGGCGGUGUCUAGCCACCCGUCCUCGACUGGCGCAGUUGGCUCCGAGCUAAGGGUCAGAGCUGAUGCGGGCGCGGCCUCUGGGGUACUGUCCGGUGGUAGAGCUAGGUCAUACCCAUCGUGACAGUGCAGCGCGCCCGGCUGUGGCUUGAAUCCGUCGAAGAUCAAGUCUCCGAGGAUGUCGGCCGUGUAGUUCAAACUUCCAAAUCUGACCUGAUGGCCAGGGGUGUAGCUUUCAAUCUGCUCCAGAUGGCCAAGCGAAUUAGCCCGUAGUGCAAAGCCGCCGAACACUGGACCGCAUCGUUGUUCAUGAUCGGAGGAGCCAUCGGGCCUAAAGGUGACGACACCGAGGAAAUCUCAAUGGAAGCACCAAUGUCGGUGUCAAAUCCGGCGGAUCUCGGGUAGGGGGUCCCGAACUGUGCGUCUAGGCCGGAUGGUAACAGGAGGCAGGGGACACAAUGUUUUACCCAGGUUCGGGCCCUCUUGAUGGACGUAAAACCCUAUGUCCUUCUUGAUUAAUAUUGAUGAUAUGUGUAGUACAAGAGUAGAUCUACCACGAGAUCAGAGAGGCUAAACCCUAGAAGCUAGCCUAUGGUAUGAUUGUAUACGUCCUACGGACUAAAACCCUCCAGUUUAUAUAAACACCGGAGAGGGUUAGAGUUACACAAGGUCGGUUGCAAAGGAGGAGAUAUCCAUAUCCGUAUUGCCUAGCUUGCCUUCCACGCCAAGUAGAGUCCCAUCCGGACACGGGACGGAGUCUUCAAUCUUGUAUCUUUAUAGUCCAACAGUCCGGCUGUCCGGAGACCCCCUAAUCCAGGACUCCCUCACCCCCACUCCCUAUCGAACCCUAGCCCAAUCGCCCCACCUCCCCCACACCCCCUCGCCAGCCUCCCCACCUCUUGAUCCCAUCUGGAUCGGGGAGGGGAUCACCCCCAUCGACCCCGUCGCCGUCGCCGGAUCGCCCGUCAGCGUCGCCAGGCCUCCUCCCCGCCGCCCGUCUCCGGCUCGCCUCCCCUCUCGCUCCUCUUUCCCGACCCGAUCAGGAUCGUGAACGAGCAAUGAGCGCGACGCCCCCCCUUCAUCGGCGCCAUCACCGUGCGCCACCACCACCGCCUGAAGACCUCGCCGUCGCUGACCUUGUGUCGUCUCCUGGUAUCCCUUCCCGACUCGCGUCCUCAAGCCAGGCCGACCCCCUUCUCGGCAAUGCUGUGAGACGCCCCCCGUUUCCCUCCUCUUUCCACCGUGUUCACCGCGCCGCCUGACGAAGCUACGUACCUAGGGUAGGGGCAUGGACCUGUCCUAAGAGCCCUACCCAAGGACAUCCCUGGAAGAAGUCACCUUUCAAUCGACUUGAAGGUACCCACUCGACGGGUUUAAGACACUCGACCAAGAAGCUACCACUCGACAUGAAGCCAAUCACUCGACUGCCAGGAGAUCUAAAGUCAUUCCACGGGCAAACGGUCGGCUAUUAAGUAGUCUUUAUGGUCAUUAUAGCACUUUAUUACCAGCAUUACCAGUAACGCCCCGCCUUAAUGUACAUUGAACCCUUGGUAACGUAGGCUGGCCGGGGUCCUGGCGCGCUCUAUAUAAGUCACCCCCUCCUCCGAGACAAGGGUUCGCACCUCUAUUGUUCACAUGCCUAUAAUCCAAUCGACCGCCUCCGGGCACUGAGACGUAGGGCUGUUACUUCCUCCGCGAAGGGCCUGAACUCGUACACCUUGGUGUGUUUACAACUUCCCAAUAGCUGAGAUCUAGCCUCUCCAUACACACCCCCCUACAUCACUGUCAGAGUUAGAACCACAAUAGUUGGCGCCCACCGCGGGGCCAGAAUCUUAGCGCUUACUUGGAGAAGUUGCGAUUCUUCUGAUCCCUUUGAUCAUGGUUUCAUGCGGAGUUUUGGUGGAGGGGCGCGAGAUCCGUCUCGGCGCGCUCACAUUCAUCGCCGACGACUCCGCUUGGUUUCAGGAGGCUCCACUCGACAUCGACGUGCUCCCCGUCCGUGGUGCGACGCACUUCCGCGCAUGCGUUCGUGGCGUCCUCCUGCGGCAGCCGUCGACCCAGUAUCGGUCGGCCCUCGUGUCGUCUCCCCGCUCUGUCUCCCUCCGACGCAAGCGCUUUGGUAGGUCGAGACUUUAGAGGUGGGUGAGGCAUGCCGUGGCUCGCCAGUCGGCCGCCCCACAAGUCGCGGCAAUCGAGCCCGACAAAUCCCUCUGCAGCCUGUUCGACUGGCUCCGCGGAGACUUCAUCCGAGUGUGACAGCAGAGACCCAGCGGCUGAGGUUCUGGCGGUCGAUGGGACACACUGUCCUCCCGGUUUCCCUCGCGCUAAUGGAGGCGCGGGUGGGGGCGACCCGUCGCAUCCCCACGAUGAGUAUCUCCCCGAAUGUCUCACGGCAUCGCAGCGAGAGGAACUUCACCGCCGGAACAUAGACGCACUCCACACUCCUAUCGUCGGAGAAACCCCCGAGGCCCGGGCCUUGGAGGACGCGCGCUUGGCUAACUUGGCUGAGCGCACUCGACUGGAGAAUCUCCAGCUAAUACUCGAUGAGCAAGCGCGCCAGUGAGCUCCCGAGUCCAGUCGACGUCAGCUCUUUCCGCCGAUGCAGGUAUAUUGAACCCUAGUUCAGAAUUUGGCCGCCGCGGCCCGUAUAGCAGAGUCAAUUCAGCCCUCCCAGUCAGAGGCUGGCAGGGGCUUGUUGCAGAUCAGAGCAUUGCUCCGGGCGGCGGGGAACCAGAAUUCCGCUGUUUCUCAGUCGCAGAAUAGGAUCCACAGUCGAUCCGUUGCAACAGAUACAGUCCAGUCGGCUCACAGCCCGAGAUCGCCCCCGAGGCGUGAGGGACAUGGAGACCGGCACGAUCAGUACAGAAGAAAUGAGCAGUAUGAUCACCGAUUCGAUCGUGAGGAUCGACGUCGAGUGCCAACCCCUCCCCCGAGGAGUGGGUCAUAUGCGCCUCGAUAGCGAGAUGACAGGCGCCCUCAUAGUGUUGGGCAGAGGAUUCCAGUCGACCCCAGGGACCCAGGCUUUGAUGCGAGAUCCAUCCUUGAUCAAGGUCUGGUUGACAGGAACGGGGCUCACCGAGAAUGCCAGGACAGAGAUGCGCCUGCCAGCAGCAGAGUGCGUGUUUCAGGGACAGAGUGUUUCAGUCGAGCCAUCAGAGCCACAGUGAUUCCUCCCAACUUCAGGUUGGCGACUGGAGUCAGCUAGUUCACCGGUGAGUCUAAGCCUGACACUUGGCUCGAAGAUUACCGAGUGGCUGUACAGAUUGGCAGUGGCAAUGAUGAGGUGGACAUGAAGCAUUUGCCUCUCAUGUUAGAGGGCUCAGCCAGAGCAUGGCUAAAUCAGUUAGUGCCCAGCAGCAUUUACACUUGGGAGGACCUCUCCCGAGUGUUUGUCACAACCUUUGAGGGAACAUGCAAGCGACCUGCAGGCCUUACAGAGUUGCGGUCUUGCACGCAGAAACCGAAUGAAACGCUGAGGGAUUACAUCCAGAGGUGGAUCACAUUGCAUCACACAGUUGAGAAUGUUCCAGAUCAUCAAGCAGUUUGUGCCUUCAAAGAAGGCGUUAAGUACAGAGAAUUGAAUCUGAAGUUCGGUCGAACUGGAGAGAUGUCUCUGAAUCGGAUGAUGGAGAUUGCCACCAAAUACGCUAAUGGUGAAGACGAAGAUCGCCUCCGGAGUGGCAAGCGCAAGGCAGUCGCCCAAGAAACCGGAGGAAACUCCAGUCAGAAACAGAAGCGGAAGGCUGAGCCAGCCGCCCCUGGGGAGGCCCUGGCCGUAACCCAGGGAAAUUUCAAGGGAAAACCCAAGGGCCCCUGGAAGCCCAAGAAAGUCAAGGAUCAAGAUGGAAAUGAUGUUUUGGAUCUGCCAUGUCACUCCACACCAAGAAAGAUGAAGAGGGUAAUUUUAUUUACCCAAAGCAUACCACUCGACAGUGCCAGCUCCUGAUCCAGCAGUUUCAGGGCAAGCAACCCAAAGAUAAGGAAAAAGAGCCAGACAGAGUUGAGGACAAGGAUGAUAGUGACGAUGGAUACCCCCAAGUCAAUUCCACCCUGAUGAUUUUUGCUGAUGUCGAAAGCAAAAGUCGACUGAAAGUCAUUAAUCGUGAAGUGAAUAUGGUUGCUCCGGCAACACCUAGUUAUCUGAAGUGGUCUCAGGCUGCCAUAACAUUCGACCAGUCUGAUCACCCUACGCACAUUGCCACCCCUGGGAGGCAAGCUUUGGUGGUCGACCCAGUUGUCGAAGGCACUCGACUGACCAAAGUCCUGAUGGAUGGUGGCAGUGGCCUGAACAUACUGUAUGCUAAAACAUUGAAAGGGAUGGGCAUUCCGAUGUCCGGGCUCAGUACCAGCAACAUGAGCUUCCACGGAGUCAUUCCCGGGAAGUAAGCCGAAUCACUCGGCCAGAUUGCUCUUGAUGUGGUUUUCGGUGAUUCAAAGACUUACCGCAAGGAAAAGUUGACAUUCGAGGUUGUGGACUUCCAAAGUGCUUAUCAUGCCAUUUUGGGCAGACCAGCUUAUGCACGCUUCAUGGCCUGACCAUGUUAUGUGUAUCUCAAAUUGAAGAUGCCUGGUCCUAAAGGUGUGAUCACUGUUACAGGCAAUCGGAAGAAGGCAGAAGAGUGUUUUCAGAAAGGCUCAAAGAUUGCUGACGCUCAGAUGGCAGUGGUUGAGCUGCAAGAGUAUCAGAAGACUGCAGAUCCGAGUGAGUUGCUACGAGCUAAGAAGCCCACUUCGGAGUCAGCUUUUCAGUAGUCUGGUGAAAUGAAGGCAGUUCACAUUCACCCGACCAACCCCGAGGCUGCCCCGACUCACAUCUCAAAGACGCUCGACUCCAAAUAGGAAGAAGUGCUCAUCCAGUUCCUCCGUGAGAACUGGGACAUCUUCGCAUGGAAGCCUUCUGACAUGCCUGGAAUAACCAGGGGGCUGGCUGAGCACCGUCUACGAGUCGACCCAAAGUUCAAGCCUAUGAAAGAACAUCUUCGACGGUCCGCCGUCCAAAAGAGGAAAGCUAUUGGCGAGGAGGUGGCUCGGCUCUUAGCAGCAGAGUUCAUCCGAGAGAUGUACCACUCUGAGUGGCUCGCCAAUGUUGUCAUGGUCCCCAAGAAGGACAAGUCGCUUCGCAUAUGCAUCGACUUUAAACAUAUCAAUCGGGCCUGCCCGAAAGAUCAUUUUCCUCUCCCUCGCAUCGACCAAAUAGUCGACUUGACCGCGGGGUGUGAGCGAUUGUCUUUUCUAGACGGCUAUUCCGGGUACCAUCAGAUCCGUCUGUAUGGACCCGAUGAGAUCAAAACAGCUUUCAUCACUCCAUUCGGGUGCUUCCGUUAUGUCACCAUGCCCUUCGGCCUCAAGAACGCUGGAGCCACGUUCAUGAGGAUGAUUCAGAAGUGUUUGCUCACUCAAAUCAGUCGGAACGUGGAAGCAUACAUGGAUGAUAUUGUGGUCAAGUCGCGGAAAGGUUCCGACCUGCUGACUGACCUUGCUGCAACCUUUGCCAACCUUAGGAGGUAUGAUAUCAAGCUUAAUCCAUCAAACUGCACAUUCGGAGUUCCGGGUGGAAAGUUACUCGGUUUUCUCGUUUCCGAAUGAGGAAUCAACGCCAAUCCCGAGAAAGUUGGCACCAUACUCCGGAUGAAGCGCCCUGUGCGUGUGCACGAUGUCCAGAAGCUUAUGGGUUGCUUGGCCGCUCUAAGUCGAUUCAUUUCUCGUCUCAGUGAAAAGGCAUUGCCUCUUUACCGACUGAUGAAGAAGUCUGACAAGUUCGAGUGGACUCCAGAAGCUGAUGCAGCGUUUGCAGACCUCAAAGCUCUGCUCUCCACCCAGCCGGUGCUUGCUGCCCCAAUCAGUAAAGAGCCUUUGCUGCUUUACAUUGCAGCCACAGGACAAGUUGUCAGUACAGUACUUAUGGUCGAGCGGGAAGAUGAAGGAUAGGCCUUCAGAGUUCAACGCCCAGUAUAUUAUGUGUCUGAAGUUUUGACACCUUCAAAACAAAGAUAUCCUCAUUAUCAGAAGCUUGUAUACGGGAUUUAUAUGACCACGAAGAAGGUUGCACAUUACUUCUCUGACCACUCCAUUACAGUCGUCAGCGACGCCCCACUGUCAGAGAUUCUGCAUAACAGAGAUGCAACUGGUCGAGUGGCGAAGUGGGCGAUUGAACUCCUUCCCCUAGAUAUCAAGUUUGAAGCAAAUAAGGCUAUCAAGUCCCAAGCAAUUGCAGAUUUCAUCACCGAGUGGAUCGAACAGCAGCUUCCGACUCAAGUUCACCCGGAGCACUGGACCAUGUUCUUCGAUGGAUCUAAGAUGCUGAAUGGUUCCGGUGCUGGGGUAGUAUUGGUCUCCCCCCGAGGAGAUAAGCUCAGAUAUGUUCUCCAGAUUCACUUUGAUUCCUCCAAUAAUGAAGCAGAAUAUGAAGCACUUUUGUAUGGGUUGCGCAUGGCCAUUUCACUUGGCGUCCGUCGCCUCAUGGUCUAUGGCGACUCAGAUUUGGUGGUUAAUCAGGCGAUGAAGGAGUGAGACGUCAGAAGUCCGGCAAUGACUGGUUAUUGCAAUGUAGUGAGAAAGCUAGAAAAGAAAUUCGAGGGGUUAGAGCUUCAUCACAUCCCCCGACUGAAAAAUCAGGUAGCUGACGAUUUGGCAAAGAUAGGCCCCAAGAGAGAAGCCAUUCCCAGCAACGUGUUCCUGGAACACAUUCAUUCGCCAUCAGUCCAAGAAGAUCCUUUUACAGAAGAAGCCCCGCAGCCGAAAAGUGCCACAGAUCCGACUGAAGUCGAAGUCCCUGCUGUGGUCGACCUAAUCAUGGAAGUCUUCGCAAUCACUCCCGACUGGACGAUACCGUACAUCGCGUAUAUCCUAAGGAAAGAACUCCCGGAGGACGAGGAAGAGGCUCGACAGAUCGUCCGCCGAUCCAAAGCCUUCACAGUCACAAGGGGACAGUUGUAUAGAGAAAGCGCGACUGGGAUCGGUCAGAAGUGCAUAACACUAGAAGAGGUUCAGAUAAUCCUUGACGACAUCCACUCGCGGACCUGUGGUCACCAUGCGUCUUCUCGGACCAUUGUGGCUAAAGCAUACCGAGCGGGAUUUUACUGGCCAAGAGCAAAUGAGAUGGCAAAAGAGAUAGUCGACCAGUGUGGAGGGUGCUAGUUCUACUCCAACAUGUCACACAAGCCUGCGUCAGCCCUGAAGACCAUUCCACUCGUCUGGCCCUUUGCUGUCUGGGGACUGGACAUGGUUGGUCCACUAAGAACAGGCAGGAGCGGUUUCACUCAUGUGCUUGUGGUAGUCGACAAGUUUACCAAAUGGAUUGAGGCUAAGCGCAUCAAGAAUCUUGAUGCUUGCACUACUAUCAGUUUCGUCAGAGGGCUAACAUUCAGAUAUGGAGUCCCGCAUAGCAUCAUCACUGACAAUGGGUCAAACUUUGAUUCGGACAAGUUCAGAGCUUUUUGCGCCUCUCAAGGCACACGAGUCGACUACGCAUCGGUCGCCCAUCCCCAGUCGAAUGGACAAGCAGAGAGAGCAAAUGGUUUGAUUCUCAAAGGACUAAAGCCUCGACUGAUGCGCGAUCUCAAGCACGCGGCAGGUGCUUAGGUCGACGAGCUUCCGUCAGUUCUGUGGGGAUUGAGGACCACCCCGAACCGGUCGACUGGAGGAACUCCAUUCUUUCUGGUUUAUGGAGCCGAGGCAGUUCUGCCGAGUGAUCUUCUUCACAACGCACCCCGAGUCGAACUUUAUACCGAAGAUGAAGCAGAACAAGCCCGGCAAGACGCAGUCGACCUACUAGAAGAAGAGAGGGAGAUGGCCAUGAUCAGAUCGACCAUUUAUCAGCAAGACUUGCGUCGAUUCCACGCUAGGAAUGUGAAGAGUCGAGCCUUCCAAGAAGGAGAUUUGGUCCUCCUAGUGGAUCAACAGAAACCACACAAGCUUGCUCCUACUUGGGAAGGCCCCUUCAUCGUCACCAGAGUCCUCCACAAUGGAGCGUAUCACCUCUACAAUGUUGAUCGCCAGAUCGAUGAGCCGCGAGCUUGGAAUGCGGAACUGCUCCGCCCCUUUUACACUUGAGUUCUCCCUUGGACGAGAUGUAAUAAGAAAAAAUUUCUGCAGUUCAUUUUUAUCAAAGGCAAGAGUGUUCCAAUAAUUGCUGUCACUUUUGUUUGCAUACGAAAUCCCCCAGUGGGUGACUUAGCUGCGAAUCCGUUUCGCCUAAGUUUGAAAAAUCCUACCGAGUGGAGAGCCAGAUUCCCACUCGGGGGCUUAGCUCCAGCCCAGUGCUUGCCUAAGUGUUCAAAAAUCCUACCAAGUGAGAGCAAUCCUCCCACUUGGGGGCUUAGCUGCAGUCCAGUACUCGCCUAAGUUCUCCCACUUAGAGACUUAGCUGCAGUCAGGCACUCGCCUAAGUUUGAAAAAAUCCUACCGAGUGGAGAGCAAUCCUCCCACUCGAGGGCUUAGCUGCAGUCCAGUACUCGCCUAAGUUCUCCCACUUAGAGACUUAGCUACAGUCAGGCACUCGCCUAAGUUUGAAAAAAUCCUACCGAGUGGAGAGCAACCCUCCGACUCGGGGGCUUAGCUGCAGUCCAGUACUCACCAAAGUUCUCCCACUUAGAGACUUAGCUANNNNNNNNNNNNNNNNNNNNNNNNNNNNNNNNNNNNNNNNNNNNNNNNNNNNNNNNNNNNNNNNNNNNNNNNNNNNNNNNNNNNNNNNNNNNNNNNNNNNNNNNNNNNNNNNNNNNNNNNNNNNNNNNNNNNNNNNNNNNNNNNNNNNNNNNNNNNNNNNNNNNNNNNNNNNNNNNNNNNNNNNNNNNNNNNNNNNNNNNNNNNNNNNNNNNNCUCUCCUUCCGAGCUACGCCACAAGUACAACAUGCGCUCUGCAAGGAGGACGAGGUGCAGGUCGACUGCUACCCUCUCCUUCCGAGCUACGCCACCAAUUCAAAAUCCUACUGAGUGGAGAGCAAACCUCCCACUCGGGGGCUUAGCUGCAGCCCAGUGCUCGCCUAAGUAUUUGAAAUCCUACCGAGUGGAGAGCAAACCUCCCACUCAGGGGCUUAGCUGCAGCNNNNNNNNNNNNNNNNNNNNNNNNNNNNNNNNNNNNNNNNNNNNNNNNNNNNNNNNNNNNNNNNNNNNNNNNNNNNNNNNAAAUCCUACCGAGUGGAGAGCAAACCUCCCACUCGGGGGCUUAGCUACAGCCCAGUGCUCGCCUAAGUAUUUAAAAAUCCUACCGAGUGGAGAGGAAACCUCCCACUCGGGGGCUUAGCUGCAGCCCAGUGCUCGCCUAUGUGUUUAGAAAUCCUACCGAGUGGAGAGCAAACCUCCCACUCGGGGGCUUAGCUGCAGCCCAGUGCUCGCCUAAGUGUUUAGAAAUCCUACCGAGUGGAGAGCAAACCUCCCACUCGGGGGCUUAGCUGCAGCCCAGUGCUCGCCUAAGUGUUUAGAAAUCCUACCGAGUGGAGAGCAAACCUCCCACUCGGGGGCUUAGCUGCAGCCCAGUGGUCGCCUAAGUGUUUAAAAAUCCUACCGAGUGGAGAGCCAGACUCCCACUCGGGGGCUUAGCUGCAGCCUAGCGCUCGCCUAAGUGUUUAAAAAUCCUACCGAGUGAGAGCAAACCCCUCACUCGGAGGGCUUAGCUGCAGCCCGGUGCUCACCUAAGUACAGGACACAACCCAAUCCGCAAGAAGUUACGCCACAAAUACAAGGUUAUUCCGAGUGAAGAUCAAGUUGCACUCGACAGAUCAAACCAUGAAGAUAUCCAACGAGAAAUCAAGUUCGGAUAAAGCCUAAAGGUCCCAGACCUCAGAUCAAAGUACUCGAGCCCUCGGCUCGGCAGAGUUUAACGGUUACAAAUCCACUCAGCAUUCCGAGGCAAAUUUAAAGUGAAGCACGACGAACUCGUCCAAGUCGAUCCCGUCUGCAAUACGAGUGGCAGCAGCGAUGAAAGUCUCCAUGAAGUCUUGAAAGCUGUGCUUCCUGGUAUUGGCAACUUGGAUGGCGGCCGGCUUUUCUUCUCGCGCCUCCUUGCAAUGGACGCGGACCAGAGACAGAGCGACAUCAGCACCACAUCUAGCAGAAGAUUUCUUCCAUUCCGCCACUCAACCCGGGACUUCAUUCUGUCGAGCCAUCAGAGACUCGAGGUCGUUCUGAAGCAUCAUCCCAGGCCAGAGUGAUGUGUCAAUCCGCGACAUCGCAACCUUCAGUCGAGCAAGAUAGUCAACAACACUGGUAACACGAGACUCCAGUCGGAGCACGUUCAUAGCAGCUUCAUCCUUCACGAGAGAAUUGGCGGGGUCCAAGCCUGGCUCCACUCGACUGGUUUCCUCUUCGAAGUUCUGGCAGAAUUCUGCAAACACGAUUCAAGAGUCAGACAUUGGCUCUACACAGGCUUGGCAACUGCAAGACAGUCGGGGCAGAGUAAUUACCUUCGAGCAUGACGAACAGCUUCUUGGUGAGUCCACCGAGAUAAGCCUCCAGAUCAUUUACCUUCCCCGCCAGCUUACCCGCCUGGUCGUGUAGAACCAUCUUUUCAUUCUUCAGUCGGCUGACCUCUUGAUUAGCUGUCUCGAGAGCAGUUUUCAGCCUCGAGUUCUCCUGUUCAAGAGUUCCGACCGAAGCCAUUUUCUCUUCUCCAAGCUUCGUUCUGCUCAAGGCCUCCUUCUGUGAUUCUGCAAGAUCUUGAUCCUUCUUCUUCAGAGCUUCUUCCAGUUUAUCUGCGGCACGUCGAGUGAAAUCAACAUCAAGAAUGGACAAGCAAGAAAAAUCACUCGUCAAGAAUGGAGAACCUCACCAGCCAUACCUUUUGCUUCUUCUUGCGCCUUCCUCAAAUUCUCUUGAGCAAGCUUCAAGUUAAGGUUGAGCUGGAUCUGCUUAUUCUCCAACUCAGUAUAGCGAGCUACAAGUUCACAGGAUUUCUGCAAAAAGAAAAAUCAGUGGACAGACGUCCAAGAUAAGUUGCUUCCCAAUAACUAAAAGACAACGAUGGCGUUUCUAAGACUAUAGCCGAAUCUAAAACAUUCGACAGUAGUCUCGGGGACUACACCCAGUGGGUGCACUCUGCGUGCCCCCAUUGUAAAAAAAGUCGACUGCCCGCAGUCGACCGGAUACAGUUCCAUUCGACAUGGCCUGACCAGACCGAAUGAAGAAAUACAGCUACAACAACACAAUAUAAAGACUACAGUCGACUGCCAGCAGUCCACCAUAGUCUCGGGGACUACACCCAGUGGGUGCACUUAGCGUUCCCCCACUCGUCCAAGAAUUGGCAGACACACCCAGUGGGUGUACAGAUAUAAAGAUCUUCAAAAAAAAAGAUUCUUCAAACAGCAUAUCGUAACAGACCAAGUGUUGAGUCGACUGACCUGGACGUUACUCUGAAGAGCCGAACUCGCGUCAUAAGCCGCUUGGCUGGCCUCCCAAGCCGCUUUCACUUGUUCCAUCAUAAUCCCCGCCUGGCGUAUGGCCUCUUUUGCAGCAGCUGCUUGGUCCUCAGGGACGGGGUACGUGGCAAAAAGCGAAGGCGGAUCCGCAGUCGACGUCAAGGGCCGCACCCUCGUCAGAGGAAUGGCGAAAGUCACAGAAGCCCGAGUGGUUUCACCACCGUCUCGGGCUACGGCCUCAGGCGCCGGAGUGGAUUGUGGGGUCUCGCCAGCCGACGCUCCCCUGUUCCUUCUCACUCUCAGCGGCACGUCAUCGUCGUCAUCCGGAAGGUUGAUAACAUGAUAAGGAGCUACAAGAAAAAAUUCAAUCGACCAGAGUUGCAAUAAGUGUCCAGUCGACUGAAGGCAGAACAUCAGUAAUCAUACCAGGGUGGAGGUAACAGCAUCCUCCAUCUCUUGGUCGUCGUCCUUGGCAGAGACCUCCGAAGUAGGAGCACUGCAAAUCUCGAAAGUCAGUCAGUUGGCUCAAUGAAUCGACCAAGGAUCUGUCCACGGUCGACAAAGGAAAACAAGUUUUGUUAUUACCCAGAAAUGGUGGGGACAGCCAUCUUCAUCUUGGGCAGAGCCUUGGGCGGCUUGGACGGCGUCGCGCGUGGGUGCUUGGGAGCCUUUCCAGUCAGCGUAGGAGAAGAGGUUCGAGGGCGUUUCGACAACUGCCCAACAGGAGCAGUCGCCUACCACGUUCCCGCGCUGGAUCAUGUGUGAGCUUGGAUCGCCUCUCCCGGUGGGGGGGGGGGGGGGGUCAACCUCCUCCUCCUCCUCUUCGCUGGAGUUGACGUCGUCGUCUCCCUCUCCUUCGCCAUCGGACUCCCACUCGCCUUGAUCGUCUCCACUCUCACAUCCGCUCGCCUCCCCUUCCUCAGUUGGCUCCUGUGCCCCGUUGGGUGUCGAGUACAUCUCAGUAGUCGCCUGGAAAACAACAGACAAGACAAAAGUUAGUCGACCAAUUCAAAGAAGACCAAUGAAGAAAACAAGAUUUCAAUCGGGAGCGUAAAGUCAGACCUGGUCCACUUCGUAUUGUUGUCGAGUGGAGAAACCCUCCUGGCGCCUCGGGGGUUGUCUUUGUUUCCUGUGAUGCUCGUCAGCCACCCCUCCAACAUCUCAUCAGUGACCUCCUCCGGGUGGAUCCGAGUGGUGUCUUCGAGGCCCGAGUACAGCCACAUCGGGUGGCCGCGAGCCUGGAGCGGUUGGAUGCGCCUCCGAAGAAAGACCUCCAGCAAGUCCAUGCCAGUCACGCCAUCACGGACGAGCUGAACCACUCGACCAACCAGCACUUUGAAUUGGGUCUUUUCUUCUGGCGUCACUUUCAGAGAAGCAGGUUUUUGAGCUCGGUCGAGAGAGAAAUGGGGAAGCCCGGUCGACUGUCCUGGGGUCACCUGGUCUUUGCAGUAAAACCAGGUCGCCUGCCAACCACGGACCGACUCUGGGAAAAUGAUAGAUGGAAAACAACUCUUUCCCCUCGUCUGGAUCGCGAGGCCCCCGCACAGCUGGAUCACUUGCGUCCUUUCCUCACUCGACUUGGCCUUCUUGACCGAUUGGGAGCGGCAAGUAAAGAUGUGCUUAAAGAGCCCCCAAUGGGGGCGGCAACCCAGGAAACCCUCACACAAGGAAAUGAAGGUAGCAAGGUACACGAUAGAGUUGGGAGUGAAGUGGUGGAGCUGCGCUCCGAAGAAAUUUAGAAAACUCCGGAAAAAAGGAUGAGGAGGCAGAGAAAACCCUCGAUCGAUGUGGGUGGUGAGAAGGACACACUCACCAUCACGGGGUUGAGGCUCGACUUCUCCCCCCUGGAGACGCGCAGCCUCGUAAGGAAUGACUCCCCCCUCAACCAUAUCGUCGAGGUCUUCCUGCCGAAUCACCGACGGCAUCCAAUCGCCCUGGAUCCAGCCUCUGGGCAGAGCAGUCCUUGAGGAAGAUCCGCCCCAAGCGGACUUCUUCCCUUUCCCCUGCACCGACGCCUUCUUCGCGCGCUCCAGAGCAGACGUCUUGCCCUUCACCAUCGUCGCCGGCGAAUCUCAAACGGGUCUGCGGCGCUAGGGUGAGAGCGGAGGUGGCGGAGGACUUCGCGAAGGGAGAAAGAAGAGAAAGAAGAGAAAGGAGAGAGCACUGUUCGGGAACCCGAGCAGGCGGCUUAUAAGAGGCCGCUCCUGAGUGGCUGACUGGUAGGCCCAGGCUAUCCCGUCAAAUCCCGCAGUAGACGCGCGCGCAGCUCGUGGCGGAAAAGGUGGCACGGGAAUCGAGGAGCUUCUGCCUUAUCACAUCCGAUUACUGCGGCCGCGCCCGUCCCGCUCGCUCCCCGAUGUUCAAAUCCCGCGAAAUCCGCGGGCUGCGGAACAACUCAUCAAAUAGAAGAUCCCUCUCGUGCCGGCACUCGGUAUUUCACAAGUAAGGAAAUUCACUCGACGGGAGACCAAGAAUGGAUCAAGGCGACCGAAAGAAGUUGACAACGUCAUCCUUGGCGAUAGAUCUAGUACAAGACGUCCAUAUGACGCUAAAAACCAGUCGGAAGGACCCCCAACUCCUUCCCCACUCGAACCUCGAUCCAUUCGGGGGCUAAUGACGAAGCUACGUACCUAGGGUAGGGGGAUGGACCUGUCCUAAGAGCCCUACCCAAGGACAUCCCUGGAAGAAGUCACCUUUCAAUCGACUUGAAGGUACCCACUCGACGGGUUUAAGACACUCGACCAAGAAGCUACCACUCGACACGAAGCCAAUCACUCGACUGCCAGGAGAUCUAAAGUCAUUCCACGGGCAAACGGUCGGCUAUUAAGUAGUCUUUAUGGUCAUUAUAGCACUUUAUUACCAGCGUUACCAGUAACGCCCCGCCUUAAUGUACAUUGAACCCUUGGUAACGUAGGCUGGCCGGGGUCCUGGCGCGCUCUAUAUAAGCCACCCCCUCCUCCGAGACAAGGGUUCGCACCUCUGUUAUUCACACGCCUAUAAUCCAAUCGACCGCCUCCGGGCACCGAGACGUAGGGCUGUUACUUCCUCCGCGAAGGGCCUGAACUCGUACACCUUGUUGUGUUUACAACUUCCCAAUAGCUGAGAUCUAGCCUCUCCAUACACACCCCCAACAUCACUGUCAGAGUUAGAACCACGACACCGCCUGCCGUGCCCCUCGCCGCACGCCCACCACCGCGCCAGCCCCCACUCUGUGGACGACCCUAGCCGCGCCCGCGCCGUGAUCCCCUUUUCCGCCCUACCUUCCCGCACUCGCCGCGGUCCCGAUGCUCCCCCGCGCCCUCUUUCAGGGGCGCCGACUGCCCCUGUCCCAUUACUCGCCGCCGCGCCUCGCCACCGCUCUACUGCUACGUUACUACUGCGCUGCGGCCGCCGCCUCUUCCCGCUGCUCCGCUAGCGCCGAAGCUCCCGGCUGGCUCUGCCACUGGUCACGUUUAACUACCGGUCUAAAUGGCCUAACCUCCCGGCAAAUGAACCCCCAGUAACCCACUGACACCGGGAGCCACAUCCCCUAAUUAACCAUUAAUAAAUUAAAACUCUUAAAUUAACAUUAGUGUAUGACAUGUGCGUCCCCUGUUAAUUAAUAAUUUACAUUAGUGUAUGACAUGUGCGUACCCUGUUAAAUAAACUGAUUUAAUUAAAAUCUAUUAACUUCGAGUCUAUGACAUAUCACUACUUGGGAAAAUCCUAGCAGUAGCGUGGGUAUUUUUCCUAUCAGUUGCGCCGGAUACCGCUCUACUGAUAAGGCACUACAGCUAACAUGUAGCAGUAAUGCGUGUCAUCCAACGCUACUGCUGUACAUGGCUAGCAGUAGCGAGCUUUAGUGCAAAGCGCUGCUGCUAAUAUCUGCAGCGCUUUUCAGCAUGAAGUGAUACUGGUAAGGGACCUCUACUACUAACUUUAUUCCCCUCGCUACUGCUAGUUUUAUUAGUUUCUGUUUUUUUCUGCAUAUUUCUUUUGUAUUUGAACAGGCUUUAUACAAUAAUAUUUAGCGUAUCAUACACAUACAAAUGUAAUCAUAGCAUAUACAUACAAAUAGUCUCGUCAAAUCAUGUCAUCAUCAUAAUCAUCAUCCAUCACAAAGUGGUCUCUCGUCAUCAUCUCUAAAAUAGCGAUACAAGUCUCGAUUACUUGCAACUACAUUGUCAUCCGUCUAAACAAUGAUAUACGCGAGAAGAGCUAUCACUAUGAGUGAGAGCGGAACUAUGCAGUACAUGAGUUUGUAUCCCUCUCUCGCAUUAGCGUGAACCUAAACUAACUACUAGUUGUCGCUCGGAAACCAGAAACCGGUACACCUGGGCCUGACACUCCGUCCACUCAUCUUAUACUCCUGGCGUAGCACUUCUGUGCCAUCGAUGAUCUAUGCACCUGCAUCGUCACAUGAGUCGAUGAUAUGCAACAUAUAUAGUUGAGCAAUAGAAACAGACAGACUUGGCAAAAAUAGAAGCAACAUAUCAUAAGCAUAAAUAACAAAGUUCAUCAUACCCAAAAUGCCCUAACUAGAGUGAUCUUCGCUAGUCGAGGAGGACGGUUUAAUUACAUCACAAAUAAUGUUUCAUCUUGCAUAACUCAAAGUGCCAUCAUACAGAAAGUAUGAACUAAACGGACACAUUGUCAUAUGUCGACAAUCACUCCAACAUGUCGUGCCAUCGAUCCAAGUCAAGGAGAUAGUCCCCGAGCUUAGUGAAAGGCUUCAGGUUGAGACGCUGAGCGGCAACGCGUGUUCGGACGUCUUCCCUCGACAUUUUUCCUUCUUCAUAGAACAUCCCUGUUUUUUCGAUGACCUCCCUCAUGAUGAUUUGGGCAAGUUCGCACUGGAAGUGAUAGAACUCAUCUUGAAGUCGAUGAUCCUCGAUAUCUCCUAAGUUCUUUGCCCAUUGCAGAAUAUGGGCAUCGCCGAAUCUAGGUGUCAUGCAAAGGUUCUGGUGAUCCCGUAUGUACUCCAUCAUGUGGUGUAGGACAUAGAAUCCAUCAUUAAGAGAAUCACUCAGUUGCUGGAUACAGCAGAAGCCGGUCUUAUGGCCGAAGGCGGGCCUGCCGUCCCUUUUCUUCUUGUCCUUGACCUCUCCACCCCGUGCACCGUAGUAAAACAUAGCACCGUCGAGAACAUACUUGAUGUGGGUGUAAUCCUUUUUUUUAAUGUUCUUCGAUGAGUCCAAGUAAAGAGCGUGGGAGUAUCGGGGGUAGAGGAUGAUGAGGAUGGUGCACCCGCCGCUGCGCAAAAUAAGUACACCUCAAAUUAAUUAGCCUCCACCGUGCAAAUGAAUGAUUGAAAUCGUAGGAAGGAUAUCCGCGUGGAUGACUUACAGGGGAUGAUAAGGCACAAGAAUCACCUCCUUGUCCUUAUUGGCACGCAUGAAAUUGACGAUGUAUUCCUCGCGUAUUCACGGUGCUUUGCGUGGACUCACAAGAAGACCUCGUGCAUGAAGUACCGAUCAGUGACACAGAUAUGAGGUAUUUGCUCAACCCCGAUGAGGUAGUUCAUGUGCAAGGCAUAAAGGUGGACGAAUGUAAAAUCCAGCUUCUUUAAGUGAAACAUGUCGAAGAUGUAAUCCAAUCGAAGGAAGAACUUGUUCGAGGGGAAUGUGUCGAUGUACGACAAUUGCAGCGACACGUUAACCACGGAGAGUGGGUAUGCUGGAUUUUUUGAGGCAAUGAGGCCUUUCUCUAUCAGCAACACAUCAUCAUGAAGUCUCCUUAUAUCGCCAAAUCAGGCCCCUAGCGCUGCUUUAGGUAGGAUUGGUUAACCGGGGAUACGCCAUAUUGCCGCACCGAGGAUAUCUAUACGGUCUUGAACCCGAGCCUGCUGAGGUGGCUGGAUCAUAGAAGCACCUUUGUUUCCUUUCCUCGGUGUCUUCCUUGGCUUCUUUGCUACCGGAAAGUCGUCUAUAAUAUGUUCAGCCUCUGGAGGCGGCAAUUCAGGCACCAACUCAUGCGCUCAAACCCUGAGUAGGCGCCAGUAUUGAGGUAUUGUUGAAUGUCAUCGUCGUCCUCAUCUAUGGCGAUGUCACUAGCGACAAAUCGAGCCUCUUCCUCACCCCGUCCGCUAUCACCCAGCACGACAGCCGACGCUAAUUGGGUAGGUGGGGUGUUGAUGUUCGUACCUAACUGCGUGCUCGUGUGUGUGCUCCCGGCCGCCUCCAGACAAAGCAGACUCUUUGACCACAACAGGACCCACCCAUUGCAACCACCAAGCCGCUGCGGGGUCUCGUCGUCAUCCCCUAGUAUCGGAGGAGCCAAAUUCUCGUGGCCCGGUUUGACACUGGCCACGAAAACUUUGAAGACAUACGGGGGGAUUGGUCGGCCAUGGAACAAUGGUUCCUUCGGCUUCAUUACCGUCACCUUCCCCACGUCCACCUUUUGGUCGCCGAUGUUGUACAAUAUGGUGCACGGGGUUACAUCGGCCUGCAAAGACACCGUGAGAUUAUACAUUUAUGGAAGAGGGCCGGUGUGACAGAUACCGUGAGGGCGUCGAGCUCAGCCAAAGACGAAGGACAGCUGAGCACGGCCGGUGUGGGAGCCGGUGUGGGAGCCGGUGCAGGUGCAGGUGCUGGUGCAUCGCUAGUCGUGCUACUCCCGAAGAAGUCAACAAUGGGAAAGUCCGCUGCAUUUUUUCUGGAUUUUGCAUGCUCCAAUUGAAAACGGCUGGAACCAAGACAAUAGACAUAUCUGCAACCACCUGUUUUGCGGCAGCUACCGUUAUCGUGACAGUCUCAGAUGAUUUCUUCUCUACUGCAAUCUCAACCUUCUUGUCGAUGUUUUCUUCAGUUAACCUCCAUCUUUCCUUUCUCUCCUCCGUGGUCUCACGGUAGCACUUCUUCCACGUGGCCCCGUCUCCGACACCGUGAACGCGUCCAUACGACGACCGAGUCUCCACUGGGAGUCCUUUCAAUAUGUUCAAUGCCCGGUUGAAUGGAGUGUCCCACUUGGGCCUCGCCAACGCCUCAGACGGCGAGUCUCUUUCGGUCGCAAUCUUGUGCUGCUCUCUCUACAAAAGGAACAAGGAUCAUUUACAAAUAUGACUAAACGUGCAGUCGAAUUGAUCAGAAACUAAAAUUACCAGCAGUCUCAUGAACUCCGUCGUGAUCGGGUCCGUCUUGAAAACCUUCUUGACCGAGUGCCAAUGGUGCCGUGCCCUGAGGACGUCAUGCUCCUACAGGACGGUGAAGUCCGCCAAGGGGUCUAGGAUGCCAGACUUUCGCGUUUCGUGUCCUCCUUGGCCCAUAUGGACCUCUUCCUGCUGUAACCACGGCUUCCGAGGUGGCGGUGCCCCAUGUUCCUUUGUUGAAACCCCUUCAUGUACUUUGACUUUGUUUUGGCAGUUUCAGCCUCGCAAGCCGCCUUGAAUAUUUCAAAGUGCUCUCCCGUGAUUGUCGGAUUAUCCUUUACAAUCUCGGAGUAGGGUUGAUACGUCUCCAAUGUAUCUAUUAUUUUUGAUUGCUCCAUGCUAUAUUAUCUACUGUUUUGGACAUUAUUGGGCUUUAUUAUCUACUUUUAUAUUAUAAUUUGGACUAACCUAUUAACCGGAGGCCCGAGCCCAGAAUUGCUGUUUUUUUGCCUGUCUUAGGGUUUCAAAGAAAAGGAAUAUCAAACGGAGUCCAAACGGAAUGAAACCUUCGGGAACGUGAUUUUCUCAACGAACAAGACCCAGGAGACUUUGACCCUACAUCAAGACACAAGGCGAAUCAUGUACGUAGCCACUAGUGAAACAUAUUAUCUUUAUUAUAUCUAUCAGAUCUCACUCUCGUAAGUGGCCGUGUUGGGAUUGACAACCCCUAUUCAUGUUGGUUGAGAGGAUUGAUUUGUUUUGUGCAAGUACAAAGGACUCGCGCGUAGCCUCCUAUUGGAUUAAUAGCUUGGUUCUCAAAAAGUGAGGGAAAUACUUACGCUACUUUGUUGCAUCAUCCCUUCCUCUUCGGGGAAAACCAACGCAGUGCUCAAGAGGUAGCAAGAAGGAUUUGCUGNNNNNNNNNNNNNNNNNNNNNNNNNNNNNNNNNNNNNNNNNNNNNNNNNNNNNNNNNNNNNNNNNNNNNNNNNNNNNNNNNNNNNNNNNNNNNNNNNNNNNNNNNNNNNNNNNNNNNNNNNNNNNNNNNNNNNNNNNNNNNNNNNNNNNNNNNNNNNNNNNNNNNNNNNNNNNNNNNNNNNNNNNNNNNNNNNNNNNNNNNNNNNNNNNNNNNNNNNNNNNNNNNNNNNNNNNNNNNNNNNNNNNNNNNNNNNNNNNNCCUCCACCCUCGUGGGCCCCCUGUUGCUCCACCGACGUACUCCUUCCUCCUAUAUAUACCUACGUACCCCCAAACGAUCAUAUACGGAGCCAAAACCCUAAUUCCACCGCCACAACUUUCUGUAUCCACGAGAUCCCAUCUUGGGGCCUGUUCCGGAGCUCCGCCGGAGGGGGCAUCAAUCACGGAGGGCUUCUACAUCAACACCAUAACCUCUCCGAUGAAGUGUGAGUAGUUCACCUCAAACCUACGGUUCCAUAGUUAUUAGCUAGAUGGCUUCUUCUCUCUUUUUGGAUCUAAAUACAAUGUUCUCCCCCUCUCUUGUGGAGAAUUAUUCGAUGUAAUCUUAUUUUUGCGGUGUGUUUAUUGAGACCGAUGAAUUGUGGGUUUAUGAUCAAGUCUCUCUAUGAAUAAUAUUUCAAUCUUCUCUGAAUUAUUUUAUGUAUGAUUGGUUAUCUUUGCAAGUCUCCUCGAAUUAUCAGUUUGGUUUGGCCCACUAGAUUGAUCUUUCUUGCAAUGGGAGAAGUGCUUAGCUUUGGGUUCAAUCUUGCGGUGUCCUUUCCCAGUGACAGUAGGGGCAGCAAGGCACGUAUUGUAUUGUUGCCAUCAUGGACAACAAAAUGGGGUUUUCAUCAUAUUGCAUCAGUCUAGCCCUCUACAUCAUGUUAUCUUGCUUAAGGCGUUAAUUUGUUUUUAACUUAAUACUCUAGAUGCAUGCUGGAUAGCGGUCGAUGAGUGGAGUAAUAGUAGUAGAUGCAGGCAAGAGCGGUCUACUUGUCUCGGACAUGAUGCCUAUAUACAUGAUGAUACCUAGAUAUUCUCAUAACUAUGCUCAAUUCUGUCAAUUGCUGAACAGUAAUUUGUUCACCCACCGUAGAAUACUUAUGCUCUCGAGGGAAGCCACUAGUGAAACCUAUGGCCCCGGGUCUAUCUUUAUCAUAUUAAUCUUCUACUACUUAGUUAUUUCCUUUGCUUUUUACUUUUCCUUUAUUUUACUUUGCAUCUUUAUCACCAAAAUACCAAUAAAAUUAUCUUUAUCAUAUCUAUCAAAUCUCACUCUGGUAAGUGGCCGUGUAGGGAUUGACAACCCCUAUUCGUGUUGGUUGCGAGGAUUUAUUUGUUUUGUGCAGGUACGAGGGACUCGCGCGUAGCCUCCUACUGGAUUGAUACCUUGGUUCUCAAAACCUGAGGGAAAUACUUACGCUACUUUGCUGCAUCAUCCCUUCCUGUUCGGGGAAAACCAACGCAGUGCUCAAGAGGUAGCAAGGGUUCCUUUUUGUCGACGAUCCGAUGUUUCAACCUUGUUUUCCAGGCGGCCAACGCGUCGCUAAACUUGGGCAUGGCGUGUUUGUUUAUCUUCUUCAUUGCCACGUCCUUAUCUGGAUCAUUAUUAUCCUUUUCAUUGCAGUCAGGGAACAAGAAUAUCUGGUGCAGCUUCUUUAGGAGGGAGGGCCUCAUAUUAUCUAUCUUCUGUAGUUUCCCAUCGUUGAUCGUGGCAGUUGUCCGUACGAUGCAACCUAUUUGAUUGCCGUAGCACGAUCGCGCUUCCUCGGGCGCUAUUGUCUCAAAAAUACCGUUGUCCAUCUCCGUGACCACCAGUCUAGUACUCAUGAGCUGGUUUGGGUGCCGUGGCCUCUUUGCUUUCGGUUCUAGACCAGCUCCGCUAGUCUCGGCGCCGGUCUCAGUCUCAUCACCGGUCUGCAUGUCGGUAUCAGUCCCCGAUGCGACAGCACAGUCGCUGCAACAUGGGUAAGGGAGACCACAUCAGUGCUGGGGUGGUCUGAAAAUUGGGACACACUUUCGCGCAUUGCGGGCCGCCUCUCAGACAGCUACUGGGGAGGCGGCGGAGUACCUGGGUGCGCGACGAAUCCCCGGGAACUCGGUGACCAACUUCCUUCCCAUGUAGCGCAUGGAGACGAUGGCGACCCCGCCGAAGAGCAGCUUAGUUGCGAGCUGCACAGCCUCGUCCACCUCCUAAGUUGGGACCUCCGCGCGAGCGUUGCGGGGCCGCCGCUCGGAUGGCUUCUGGAAGGCGCUUGUACAUGGGCACAGGGUGAAUCCCGGCAAGAGCUGGCCAUUGGUGCGCGCAAGUAGACGACGACGUCGCCGACGAAGAGCAGCCCGGCCAGCUCGCCUCACUCUCCUUUGAUUAGAAUUGAAAGAUUGGGAAGAAGCAGACUUGAGCCUGCAGGGAAAGGAUAAGGUGACGAUGCAGUCUCCACUCGUUCGGGGCGACACGCGUACUGAAUGUAUGAGAAACGCGACGUGGCAGGGACCCCAAGAUACUCCCUCCAUUUAUUUUUAGUCUGCAUAUAAAGUUUGGUCAAAGUCAAGAUUUGUAAAUUUUAACUAACUUUAUAAUAAAAAAAAUCAACAUUCACAAUAUGAAAUAAUUAUUACCAGAUGCGUCAUGAAAUGUAUUUCCAUACUAUAUAGGUUUGGUAAUGUAGAUGUUCAUAUUCUUUUAUAUAAAUGGGAAGUAGAGGCACUCUUCCAUAUAAUGAAGUUUAUAAUAUAUGUGCUUAUAUUAUACUAUAAUUGUUUGAAUAACUUAGCAUAUGUUCAGAUGUAUGAUAUCUGUAAUUUAAGCGCUUGAAUUUUACAUAUAAAUAUUUAUUAAUAAAUAUGUACCCCUAUAAUAGCUAGGCCGUGCAGUUGCACGGGUAGAUGACUAGUGAUUACAAUCUUGUUUGUGUGCAAGUCAAGCUUAUCUAGUUUACACGUAACAACUUGUAGAACAUUACAAAAUUUAUGCUUGCUAAUAACUUCUAGAACACUACAACACUUGACAUGUAAAAGGAAUUUGACGAGUCAUGGCCUACUAAAGAAAGUUACAUUACUAGUCUUAUAUCUAUCUUAAUAGACCACACAAGACUACAAAUUAAGUACCGUGACAGCCAUGAUUAUCUAGUUUAUGCGUAACAAUUUGCAGAAAAUUACAAACUUAGUUUUAGAAAAAUAGGCAAUCCAGAUUAGUGUUUGAGCUGUAAAGUGAAUAAGAUGAGUCAUGCGUGUUAUCACACCUUUUUGGUGGUGGAAUGAUAGUGCAAAACAAGGAACUUUAAUGAACAGUCCAAUAAUACACUUGUAAGUAGUGCCACCAAACAGAACAUACCAAAUGAUGAUUUUGAGAAGCAUCCAAGCACUUUCCACACAAACAAAUGCCAAUUGUGAAAGAGAUCAUUCCAUGGCAGCUAUAAAUAGCCCCGUAGCAUGACGAUCAUCCUUCCUCAUCCAUCAUUCUCAUAAGUAGAGCGCAUCAUUUAAGCCAAGCAAGCUGUGGUCAAUACAAAUCCACCAUGAAGACAUUUCUCAUCCUUGCCCUCCUUGCUAUCGUGGCGACCACCGCCACAACUGCAGUUAGAGUUCCAGUGCCACAAUUGCAGCCACAAAAUCCAUCUCAGCAACAGUCACAAGAGCAAGUUCCAUUGGUACAACAACAACAAUUUCUAGGGCAGCAACAACCAUUUCCACCACAACAACCAUAUCCACAGCCGCAACCAUUUCCAUCACAACAACCAUAUCUGCAGCUGCAACCAUUUCCGCAGCCGCAACUACCAUAUUCGCAGCCACAACCAUUUCGACCACAACAACCAUAUCCACAACCGCAACCACAAUAUUCGCAACCACAACAUCCAAUUUCACAGCAGCAGCAGCAGCAACAACAACAACAACAACAAGAACAACAAAUACUUCAACAAAUUUUGCAACAACAACUGAUUCCAUGCAUGGAUGUUGUAUUGCAGCAACACAACAUAGCGCAUGGAAGAUCACAAGUUUUGCAACAAAGUACUUACCAGCUGUUGCAAGAAUUGUGUUGUCAGCACCUAUGGCAGAUCCCUGAGCAGUCGCAGUGCCAGGCCAUCCACAAUGUUGUUCAUGCUAUUAUUCUGCGUCAACAACAAAAACAACAACAACAACCAUCGAGCCAGGUCUCCUUCCAACAGCCUCAGCAACAAUAUCCAUUAGGCCAGGGCUCCUUCCGGCCAUCUCAGCAAAACCCACAGGCCCAGGGCUCUGUCCAGCCUCAACAACUGCCCCAGUUCGAGGAAAUAAGGAACCUAGCGCUACAGACGCUACCUGCAAUGUGCAAUGUCUACAUCCCUCCAUAUUGCACCAUCGCGCCAUUUGGCAUCUUUGGUACUAACUAAGAAGAAAAUAACUCUAGUACUAGAUAUAUGAAACACCGUUUUCUCAGUCCAUGGUUUGGUCGUUGUAGCGGUGAAAAAAUAAAGUGACAUGCACUAUCAUGUAAGAACCCAAACUAUACUAGUUCAAACUUGGGAAUAAAAGACAAACACAGGUCUUGUCUACAUAUUUAUGCUGCAUCUAUUUAUAUAUUAAAAGUAAUAUAAGGUGAACCAGGAGCAAGGUAAAUAUGGUAGAAAAUUGCAC